This 914-nucleotide long non-coding RNA is filed under the name Helicoverpa zea (corn earworm). Its description in RNAcentral is "uncharacterized LOC124640121". The record is from RNAcentral. Lineage: Eukaryota; Metazoa; Arthropoda; Insecta; Lepidoptera; Noctuidae.
UAAUUCACCGAAAAACGAAGUUUCGUACGAAAUUUCGCGAACUUCUUACCACGGUUCCAUUUCGUUCCGAAAUUUCGUACGAACGAAGAUUGUUUGACGUUUAUUGUCUAUAAACCUACUCUAAUUCGAAAUGCUACGAACGAAUAUUUGAGUUUGACAGACGAAACUUCGGAAUUUUAACCUCAAAUUCAACGAAACCAAAAGAGUUAUCGUUUGAUUUUCGUGUUACUUUUCGUUUUGUGAAUUUUGUGUGAAAAUUAUUGGCAAAGGCUACAAUAAUGCUUUUAAUCAAAGCAGCUUUACGUGAAGAUCAUGUAGAGCGAAGAAGGAACCGGCAGUGCUUGCGCAAUCAAUUAAAUAUUAGCGAAAUUCCCGACGUAGAGUUUGUAGGAAAUCACAGACUCAGUCGGCAAUUUUUCGAAGGGUUGUGCCAGGAAUUCGUGCCUUUAUUACCUCCAAACAAUGCACAUUGCAAUUGCUAGACCUUCUGGAAUCGAAAAUAUUUCCAUUCUCUUAACACCCAAGUUAUAUUAUGUGACAGCGAUACUAUAUAACAAAUGUGGAUGUGUCAUUUGGUGGAGCAACACACAUGAUGCUUAUAUUUGGAGAGUGUGAUAUUAGAAGCCACUUGGAGGGUCUCCAGAAUGAAACAGUUUAUCUGUUAGGUGACUCUGGGUAUUCUCUCUAAGGGAGCAUAUGAUGACACCGAUAGAUAAAGCUGUUGAAGAUUCUCUUGAAGGCAGAUACAACUUUGCAGAGCUUUGUUAGUGCAAAUUUUGGAAAGGAAUAGGUAGGACAAAGUUCUACUCAAGCACAUCAUAACAUGCUCCAGAAAAUAUGUAUGUUUAUUGAUUUUAAGUAUUUGACAUGAUGUUAUUUAUUUCCUGUAGAGUUUAAUAAAAGAAUAAAUUAUA